GGGCAAGUACCAGCACCUCAGCCUAGUCGGUGCAGGUGAUAGUUAUGAAGCUAAGUCCUAGGCCAGGAACAAGGCAGCCAGUCCAGCCAGCAUAGUUGACCCCUCUAUGGACUGGGGCCAGUGCAGCCACAGCAUUCCAGUGCUCAGCCCCUCAGCUGGGAGAUCAGCGACUGCUGCCACGUGCCCAGAAAUGGCUCGUCCUUUCACUACAGCGGAAUGCAAUGAGGGUGGGUGAGAAGAUGAUGGGUCGGUUAUUUCAUUCCUUUUCUUUUUACAACUUCACUUUCAGAGACUUCAGCGUUCCAUGUCUGCUGUGCUGUGGAACCCAGAGUGCUCUUGCCUGGAUGGCUGAGAAUCCCUUGGACCCUGGAAGCACCUACUCCAUGAUGGCCCGCAGGAGGACCAAACUGGAGACAGUCCUGGCUCUGAGGAAACAGGAAGGAAGGAGGGUGAAAGGAACGUCCACCUGCACACAAAGGUAACUGUCCUCUACUCAGGGAAGAGUGAACCAGGACAAAGUAACUGUUUUAGAGAGCAAGGCAGCUCUCUGGGCUGAAAAAUGUUAACAGUUAAAGACCUUGCUAAGUCAAAGUCUGCCCCUAUCUCUGCCCUCUCCUGCUUCUAGGUGACCAAAAAAAAAAAAAAAA
RNAcentral lists this long non-coding RNA (647 nucleotides) under Homo sapiens (human). RNAcentral describes it as "KDM4A antisense RNA 1". The record is from RNAcentral. Lineage: Eukaryota; Metazoa; Chordata; Mammalia; Primates; Hominidae.